This 410-nucleotide ribosomal RNA is filed under the name uncultured bacterium. RNAcentral describes it as "bacterial SSU rRNA". It matches the Rfam family "Bacterial small subunit ribosomal RNA", at positions 358 to 785 of the family's 1533-position model. The record is from RNAcentral.
GGAAUAUUGCACAAUGGGGGAAACCCUGAUGCAGCGACGCCGCGUGAAGGAUGAAGUAUUUCGGUAUGUAAACUUCUAUCAGCAGGGAAGAAAAUGACGGUACCUGACUAAGAAGCCCCGGCUAACUACGUGCCAGCAGCCGCGGUAAUACGUAGGGGGCAAGCGUUAUCCGGAUUUACUGGGUGUAAAGGGAGCGUAGACGGUAUGGCAAGUCUGAUGUGAAAACCCGGGGCUCAACCCCGGGACUGCAUUGGAAACUGUCGGACUAGAGUGUCGGAGAGGCAAGUGGAAUUCCUAGUGUAGCGGUGAAAUGCGUAGAUAUUAGGAGGAACACCAGUGGCGAAGGCGGCUUGCUGGACGAUGACUGACGUUGAGGCUCGAAAGCGUGGGGAGCAAACAGGAUUAGAUAC